CCUAGGGUGGUAGCAGUGAGGAAGAGUGGUCAAGGGGCGCGAGCCGGAACCAGCCAAGUAGCGUGAAGGAUGACGGCCCUACGGGUUGUAAACUUCUUUUAUAAAGGAAUAAAGUGAGGCACGUGUGCCUUUUUGUAUGUACUUUAUGAAUAAGGAGCGGCUAACUCCGUGCCAGCAGCCGCGGUAAUACGGAGGAUCCGAGCGUUAUCCGGAUUUAUUGGGUUUAAAGGGAGCGUAGAUGGGUUGUUAAGUCAGUUGUGAAAGUUUGCGGCUCAACCGUAAAAUUGCAAUUGAUACUGGCAGCCUUGAGUACAGUUGAGGUAGGCGGAAUUCGUGGUGUAGCGGUGAAAUGCUUAGAUAUCACGAAGGACUCCGAUUGCGAAGGCAGCCUACUAAACUGCCACUGACAUUGAUGCUCGAAAGUGUGGGUAUCAAACAGGAUUAGAUACCCCUGUAGUC
This 459-nucleotide ribosomal RNA is filed under the name uncultured bacterium. Its description in RNAcentral is "partial 16S ribosomal RNA". It matches the Rfam family "Bacterial small subunit ribosomal RNA", at positions 338 to 795 of the family's 1533-position model. The record is from RNAcentral.